Molecule: ribosomal RNA, 2645 nt
Filed under: Candidatus Niyogibacteria bacterium RIFCSPLOWO2_02_FULL_45_13
Lineage: Bacteria; Candidatus Niyogiibacteriota
Description: bacterial LSU rRNA
Rfam family: Bacterial large subunit ribosomal RNA
Source: RNAcentral
ACAAGACAUAAGGGCAUAUGGUGGAUGCCUUGGCUUGAAACGGCGAAGAAGGACGUGGCGUGACUGCGAUAAGCCUCGGGGAGGUGUCUAGCAACCUUUGAACCGGGGAUGUCCGAAUGGGGAAACCCCAUCCUGCAAAACGGGAUGACUCCGAACUUGAUUCGGAGAGCGCACCCAGGGAAGUAAAACAUUUCAGUACCUGGAGGAAAAGAAAACAACGAGAUUUUCAAAUCAUCCGGCCGUUCGUGGCGGAUGACUUGAACGUCUCUCAUUCCCUAAGUAGCGGCGAGCGAAAAGGGAAGAGCCCAAACCUCUUAUUUUAUUUUUAAUAGGAUUAGGGGGGUUGUAAGUGCGGUUCGUUCGGGAGCAAUCCCGAGGAGAGCUGAUAAAAUUAGGACUUCGUUAGGAGAAUCGGCUGGAAAGCCGGGCCAUAGCGGGUAAUAGCCCCGUAUCCGAAAACGGUCUUAUGCUCUCUGAAUCGCUACUUGAGUACCUCGACACAUGAAUGGGUCGGGGGAAUCCGGGAGAACUAACUCCCAAGGCUAAAUACGUUUCGAGACCGAUAGUGAACUAGUACCGCGAGGGAAAGGUGAAAAGUAGCCCGUUGAGGGCGAUGAAAUAGUACCUGAAACCAUAUGUCUACAAGGACUCGAAGCUCCGAUACGCAAGUAUUGCGGGCGACGGGGUGCCUAUUGAAGAAUGAGCCAACGAGUUAAUUCGUAUCGCUCGACUAAGUCCUACGGGACGCAGUCAAAGGGAAACCAAGUGUUAAUAGCGCGUGCGCAGCAUUUCAAGCCUUCGGCUUUUGGCGUAAGCCGAGAGCCAGAGGCUUGAAUGUUGCAGGUGGUACGAAUUAGACCCGAAGCCGGGUGAGCUUGCCAUGGCCAGGGUGAACUCCCGAGAAAUCGGGAGGGAGGCCCGAACCGGUUGAUCGUUCAAUGUCAUCGGAUGAGCUGUGGCAAGGAGUGAAAAGCUUAUCGAACUCGGUAAUAGCUGGUUCUCUCCGAAAUAGCUUUUGGGCUAGCGUCUCAAAUUACUUCCGGGGGUAGAGCUACUGGAAGGUGUGAAUAGGGAGAAAUCUCGUCACACCUACCAAACUCCGAAUACCGGAAGCGUAUUGGGGCAGUUAGACCGUGGGGGCUAAGCUCCACUGGUCGAGAAGGGAAGAGCCUAGACCCACAUCUAAGGUCCCUAAAUCUUUGCUAAGUGCAAGUAAGGUGGUGAGAUUUCGUGGAUAGCGAGGAGGUUGGCUUAGAAGCAGCCACCCUUUAAAGAGUGCGUAACAGCUCACUCGUUAAGAGAUCUUGCGCCGAAGAUAAUCGGGGCUAAGCAAAGUACCGAAGAUUGGGAUGGUUCCGCAUUCGUGCGGGACCGUGGUAGGAGAGCGUUCUUUAUGCGAUGAAGGUCACGGCGUGAGCCGGACUGGAGCGUAGAGAAGUGAGAAUGUUGGCACAAGUAACCGCAAGAUCCGUGAGAUCCGGAUCCGCCGAAAGCCCAAGGUUUCCUUGGCAAUGGUGAUCAACCAAGGGUUAGUCGGUCCUAAGGCAAUGGCGAAAGCCGCAGCCGAUGGACAGAUGGUUAAUAUUCCAUCACCCCCGCGUUUUUUGACGGAGCGACGGAGGAAACAAGAAAGAGCGCAUUAUUGGAUUUGCGUUUCCGCGAAUAGAAUUGUUCUCCAGGCAAAUCCGGAGAACGGCCGCAAGGCAAAAUUCAAGAGCGGGAAAACUUUCCGCUACGGCAGAAAGGAUUCUUUUGAAGAGCCUUCCCAGAAAACCUUCUAAAAUUAAAAGCGCGGGGACCGUACCGCAAACCGACACAGGUGGGCAGGUCGAGAAGACCAAGGCGAACGGGUGAGUCCUCUCCAAGGAACUCGGCAAAAAAGCACUCGUAAGUUAGCGAUAAGAGUUACCCGAUGAAAAUCGGGUUGCAACAAAAGUACCCCUGGCGACUGUUUAUCAAAAACACAGCUCCCUGCGAACUCGUAAGAGGAUGUAUAGGGGGUGACGCCUGACCAAUGCGAGAAGGUUAACGUUGGCGGUGCGUGGAAAUUUAUUUCUGCGUGCUGACUGACCGAAGCCCUCGUCAAUGUCAGCGAUAACUAUAAUCGUUCUAAGGUAGCGCAAUUCCUUGCGUGGUAAGUUCACGCGCGCACGAAAGGCGUAACGACUGGGGGACUGUCUCGGAGAGGAGCCCGGUGAAAAUACAGUACCGGUGAAGAUGCCGGUUACCUGCAGUUAGACGAAAAGACCCCGGAAGCUUUACUAUAGCUUGAUAUUGGGUUUAAGUUUCUGAUGCGUAGCAUAGUGGGGAGGCUUUGAUGUGUUGUUUUAGGAUGACACGGAGCCGUCAGUGAAAUACCCAUCUUCAGUUUCUUAUAUUCUAACCUCGAGGGAAAAAACCGCGGGGAACAGUAUCUGGCGGGUAGUUUAAGUGGGGCACUUCCCUCCUAAAGAGUAAUGGAGGGGCCUAUUAAGGUCGGUUAGCUCCGGAUGGAAAUCGGAGCGAUAGGGUAACGCCAUAAACCGGCUUAACUGCGAGGCGGACAUGCCGAGCAGGUGCGAAAGCAGAGCGUAGUGAUCCGAUCGUCGGCAUUAGAUGCCGCGAAAGCUCAACGGAUAAAAGCUACUCCGGGGAUAACAGGCUAG